CGCUCAAGCGGGAGAAUUAGGAACUAAAAAUAUUAACCAGAAUCCCUUGUGAGGUUCUAUAUAAAGCACAGAAAUUCUAGAAGAGUUCUUUUUAGUAUCCGGCAGCUUUAGAGUGAACAUGUGGUUGAGUUAAUUUACUUUAAAAAAAAGUUAAAUGACCACGUGUUAAGCUUUAAACUUAUUGUUACAUACUUAACAAUAAGUAUGUUUAAAAAUUAUUUAUAUUAUAUUAUAAUAAAUUGGAGGGAUAAAAAUGGUUGACCAUCAUAUCAAAAAAAUUUUGAAGAAAUUAUUUUGAGUGAAAAUUGACCACGUGUUUCCAGCAUGGAAUUUUUCAAAGGUGGACCACGUGGUGAUGGAUUGAUGAGUUUUCUAUUUUUCUACGUAGAGAUUAAUCAUGUGAAACAUGGCGGCAGAGAGGAAGCGAAAUUUUAAGAUUUUCAAUUUAAUUCAACAUCAAAUGACUAAAUUGUGAUAAAUAUGUCAGUAAUAAAAUUACUGAACAAAAUGUUAAUUAUUUUUAUUUAAAAAUGUA
This is a long non-coding RNA of Cotesia glomerata, 535 nucleotides long. RefSeq lists it as uncharacterized. Lineage: Eukaryota; Metazoa; Arthropoda; Insecta; Hymenoptera; Braconidae. The transcript is spliced from 3 exons. The record is from RefSeq and is a predicted model, not a curated record.